UAUUUUUGCAUCUAAGGGUGAGAAUGGGAAGCCAUCUCUGCUUACACUGAGGACUACCAAAUACUUUCAAUGCACUUUUGGAUCCCUGCAUGAGCUAUUCUUAUGGAUUCCAAAGAAAAGGCACUGCUCAGGCUGCACUGCCUCGCUGCAAGCUUCAGGCUCCUGCAAGCUAAGCUAGCGCCGCAUCGUCUCCCUUCAGCUGCCAUCAUGAUUAUCUACUGGGACCUCAUCAGCCACGAUGAGAUGUUCUCCUACAUCUACAAGAUCUGGGAGGUUGUGAACGGGCUGUACCUGGAGGUGGAGGGGAAGAUGUCUGUAGGAUAGAAGAUAACGUUGAUGACUCGCUCAUUGGUGGAAAUGCAUUCGCUGAAGGCCUCUAGGGUGAAGGUACAGAAAGUACAGUAAUCACUGGUGUUGAUAUUGUCCUGAACCAUCACCUCCAGGAAACAAGUUUCACAAAAGAAACCUACAAGAAGUACAUCAAAGAUUAUGUGGAAUCAAUCAAAGGCAAACUUGAAGAACAGAGACCAGAAACAGUAAAACCUUUUAUGACAGGGGCUUCAAAACAAACCAAGGACAUACUUGCUAAUUUCAAAAACUACCAGUUCUUUAUUGGUGAAAACAUGAAUCCAGAUGGCACGGUUGCUCUACUGGACUACCGUGAAGAUGGUGUGACCCCAUAUAUGAUUUUCUUUAAGGAUGGUUUAGAAAUGGAAAAAUGUUAACAAAUUUGGAAAUUACUUUGGAUCUAUCACCUGUCAUCAUAACUGGCUUCUGCUUGUCAUCCGCACAACACCAGGACUUAAGACAAAUGGGACUGAUGUCAUCUUGAGCUCUUCAUUUAUUUUGACUGUGAUUUAUUUGGAGUGGAGGCAUUGUUUCAUGUUAUGUAGGUUGUCUAAAAA
RNA transcript from Piliocolobus tephrosceles (Ugandan red Colobus), 905 nucleotides. It is a transcript of the gene named translationally-controlled tumor protein-like, with no coding region annotated. NCBI's taxonomy places the organism in Eukaryota, Metazoa, Chordata, Mammalia, Primates, Cercopithecidae. The transcript is spliced from 2 exons. The record is from RefSeq and is a predicted model, not a curated record.